GACGAACGCUAGCGGCGUGCUUAACACAUGCAAGUCGAACGGAAAGGCCCUGCUUUUGUGGGGUGCUCGAGUGGCGAACGGGUGAGUAACACGUGAGUAACCUGCCCUUGACUUUGGGAUAACUUCAGGAAACUGGGGCUAAUACCGGAUAGGAGCUCCUGCUGCAUGGUGGGGGUUGGAAAGUUUCGGCGGUUGGGGAUGGACUCGCGGCUUAUCAGCUUGUUGGUGGGGUAGUGGCUUACCAAGGCUUUGACGGGUAGCCGGCCUGAGAGGGUGACCGGCCACAUUGGGACUGAGAUACGGCCCAGACUCCUACGGGAGGCAGCAGUGGGGAAUAUUGCACAAUGGGCGGAAGCCUGAUGCGGCAACGCCGCGUGCGGGAUGACGGCCUUCGGGUUGUAAACCGCUUUCGCCUGUGACGAAGCGUGAGUGACGGUAAUGGGUAAAGAAGCACCGGCUAACUACGUG
This 468-nucleotide ribosomal RNA is filed under the name uncultured bacterium. Its description in RNAcentral is "partial 16S ribosomal RNA". It matches the Rfam family "Bacterial small subunit ribosomal RNA", at positions 28 to 507 of the family's 1533-position model. The record is from RNAcentral.